This 3410-nucleotide long non-coding RNA is filed under the name Sus scrofa (pig). RNAcentral's name for it is "lncRNA (ENSSSCG00030032564.1)". The record is from RNAcentral. Lineage: Eukaryota; Metazoa; Chordata; Mammalia; Artiodactyla; Suidae.
UUUUUCUUCUUUUCCAGUGUUUCUCUUAAGAGUUUUGGUAUUUCUUAGUUGCUAUUUAAUGCCACUAAAUUAAAAUUUUAAAUUAUUAGCCUUAAUUUUACUGGUCCUUUCUGCACUGGAAGCAACUUCUGAUUCAACUGGAAAGCAUGGCCUCUUAGGGUUGUCAGUGUCACGGGCACUUACCUCGUGUUCAUGUUGUAUCUGGCUGAACCCCUGGCAUUGUGUAUUCCCUGGAAUUCUGCGUUCACAGGUAUGUCCAAUGUCACAAGCACUUAAAGACAGUCACAGUGGCUGAACUGCAAACUGCUGGGCUCUCCUGUGCCCAAUCAUCUCUGCUCAUGUGCAUUCCCAUUGUCCAGAUUUCACUUGCAAAGCACAAACUGAAAGAUCAAAUUACCAAGAAUUUCAAGACAGGGGCAGCAGAGCAUUAAACCUGAACCAACCCUGCUUGCUUCCAACCCCAGCACCUUGGCUUGUAGAACACACACCCCCCUGACUUCAGGAUCAAUAAGCCUCUUCCUCCAUUGUGUUGGCUUUUUGCUCUAUGACAGUGAAGCAGGAGUCAGAUGGGCUCCAGGAUAGACAGCUACAACUAGCCUCCUAUUUACACUUCCUGAGGCAGGAGAUAGUUGGACUCUAGGCUAGACACUUACAACCAGCCACCUAGCUAUACUACAAGACAGAAAUAACAACAGGCACAAGGCAAAUAACUGGUACUUGUCUUCUGUGAACUUGUCAAACCAUGGUGAUGGUAGGAUCAGAAGAGGCGCCGAGCCCUGCUUGGGCAGAACAACGUUGGGUCAGGGAGACCCCAACUACCCAUGUGCAGAGAGAUCCCUCUGGAUCAGAAAGGAAGGGGGUGUCAGCCCAUAAUAAGUCUGGAUCACCUUCCUGCCAUGCUCUGCUUUAGAAUCCAUCUUGGCCAAAAGAUGUGCACACAGAUCGGGGGAGCACACGUCUGUUUCUCCCUCAGGCCCUGGAAGCGUGUGCAGCACCGGUGGGCUGCUGGGCUAGAGCAGGUGCAGGGCAUCUUUCAGCUAAUGAAGUAUUUAAGUUCUGCCCUCUUGACCCUUCUCCUCGGGGCCCAGCAGCCCACAGGGUCCUCCCAUUAAGCAGUGGUAGUGGAGGGGGACGUGGUAGGUAUGUUUUGGGCACAGGUGCAGCCAUCAAAAUCCCCUUUCCUUACAGGUGUUGGCCUUUCCAGGUCAGUAAGUUCAGCUCAUUAUCCCUAAAACAGAGGCAAAGGCAGGAGGUGAGAGCUGUGCCUGCAUCCUGGCCCCUCUGACCCCAGCCACAGCAUACACAUUUCUUUUGGUAGGCUCUGGGAUGGGGGUGGCCACAAGCAUCAGUGAGCUGGCCUCAGGAAUGUGUCAGGUGUAGCAACCACAGCAGAGGGACAGGGUGUCUGGUUAACAUUCCAACUCUUCCAGGAAGCCUUCCUUGACUUCUCCAGAGCAGAUGGAAUACUCCUUCUUGGAAAGUCACACAGGCCAUCCACUGAGCCCCUAGUUGGGAACACAGUCUCCCUGGUCCCAAACCCCAGCUCUGUCAUUUACUAGAUGUGUGACUUCGGGCAAUUUACUUCUCUCUACUUCAUUCCUUAACUUAUAAUCUGAAUACAGGGAAAACGCCUAAGGCACAAAGCUGUUGUGCUAAGUACACAAGUCAAGAUACACAAAGUGCUUAGAACAAGCCCUGGACAAGAGGCUGCUGUUAUCAUCAUAGAACUUUUUUGUGCGGAAAAGUGUGCAUAACCUAAAAUUUACCAUUUUGGACAUUCUUAAGUGUACAGUUCAGUGGCAUCAACUACAUUCAUACCAUUGGGCACCCAUUGCUACUAUCCAUCUCCAGAACCUCUUCACCAACUCAGACUGAAACCCUGUUUCAUGAAACAAUAACUCUCCACUACCCCCUUUCCCCAGCCCCUGGGACUCUCUAUUCUACUUUCUGUCUCCAAUCAUAACUUUGGAUAUAAUAUUUUAUUUUCCUCACUGAACAAAUAUUGAUUGAACACUUACUUUGCACCUGGAAUUAAAGUAGAAUCUGAGGACACAGAGGUCAUCAGGAUCAGCAGAAUCCAUAUCUUCAUGGAGGUUUUACUCUAGUAGAUUGAGGCUGGCAAUGAGCAAAUGAAUACACAGGACAAUCUCAGUUGAGAUGCAGGCUUUUGUUGAAAAAAAAAUUAUCCAGAACUUGGAAAUAGGCAAACGAGAGUACAGUACAUCCUUCCAGAGUUAUAGUACAGAUUAGUGAUACUGCCCAAAGAUGAGUUAAUGCUCCCAGAGAAUGUACCUGUGUUUGACCUACCUGCUGACUGUUUGAUUAGAAGGCAGACACUGAGUGAUACAUGUUAACUUAUAGAUUUAUACCCAGUAGAAAAGAUUAUCACAAAGAUUAUGUUUUUAUUAUCCUGUAGGACAGUAUCCAUGUUCGUAUCUAACCUAGAAAUCUAACAGUAAAAGAGAGCCCAGAAAUGAACCCACAUUUACAUGUGCAAUUAAUCUAUGACAAAGGAGGCAAGAAUAUAUGAUGGAGGAAAAGACAGACUCUUCAGUAAGCAGUGCUGGGAAAACUGAAUAGCUAUCCUGCCAAAGAAUCAAACUGGACUAUUUUCUCACACCAUAUACAAAAAUUCAAAAUGGAUUAAAGACUUAAAAGGUAAGACCUGAAACCAUAACACUUCUAGAAGAAAACAUAGGCAGUACACUCCUUGCAUCAGUAUUAGCAAUUUUUUUUUUCAGAUCUGCCUCCCCAGGAAAGAGAAACAAAAGCAAAAAUAAGUGAAUGAGAUGACACCAAACUAAAUAGCUUUUGCACAGAAAAGGAAGCUAUCAACAAAACGAAAAGGCUGCCUAUGGAAUGAGAGAAGAAAAUUUCAAACAAUAUACUAGAUAAGGGGUUAAUAUCCAAAAUAAACAAUGAGCUCAUAGAACUCAACAUCCCAAAACUCAAAUAACUUGAUUAAAAAAUAGGCAGAGGGUCUGAAUAGACAUUUUUCCAAAGAAGACAUAUAGAUGGCCAACAGGUACACAAAAAGAUGCUCAACAACAGUACUCAUCAUGGAAAUGCAAAUCAAAACCACAAUGAGCUGUCACCUCACACCUGUCAAUGUCUAUUAUCAAAAAGACAGCAAACAAUGAGUGCUGGUGAGGAUAUGGGAAACAGGGAAUCCUCGUGUACUGUUGAUGAGAACGUAAAUUGGUGCAGCCAUUAUGGAAGACAAUAUGGAGAGUCCUCAAAAAGUUAAAAAUAAAACUACCAUAUGAUCCAGCAAUUCCAUUCCUGAGUCUUUAUCUGAAGAAAACAAAAAGGCUAAUUAGAAAAGAUACAUGCGCCCCUCUGUUCAUUGCAGCACUAUUUACAAUAGCCAAGAUACAGAAACAAUUGACAUGUCCAUCAAUAGAUGAAAG